Parambassis ranga (Indian glassy fish) is the source of this 1230-nucleotide long non-coding RNA. NCBI's taxonomy places the organism in Eukaryota, Metazoa, Chordata, Actinopteri, Ambassidae. The record is from Ensembl.
CACACAAAGAGCACACAUACACUUUGGAAGUAGUGCAAGCUUAAGUGGAAAAUGGUUCUUUUUGGGUUAGGGUAGGUGGGUAAGGGGGAGGUGGACUUUCAAAGGAGGAGGCCCCCUCAAGAUGUCUGACAUGUUUCUGCAGGACCACAGGCCACUGGCUGGCGCAAGGCGCAGGCUUGUGGUGGGCUGUUUGUCUGUGUGAAGCUGGCAUGGCCUCCCGUUCCCCUUGCAUCUGUUCCCCAUUAGCAGAGCCGAGAGUAUAAAGCAAGGAGCUGACAGGGGCCGGGAACAGUCUAGUUCCUGCCUGGAUCAUGGGGUUUACUGUCUGGCUGUGUGUGCUCUGCCUGCAGGCGAGCCUGCUGUCACACGCCUUUGACUGCUCAGGAGCGAGCCACGGAGAGCUGUGUGUCAGCGGACAGACCGCAGACGGACAGGAUGCUGAUCAGAGGCAGCAGAGGGCUCUACCAUUAAGUGAAGGACUGGUUUUGUUCAGACGUAAGCGACAGUUGGAGCGAAGGGGUCCCACCCACCUGAGUCACUCCAUCCUGCCUGGAGCUGUCUCUGUCAAAGGCUUCCCUAACACUCUCAUCCAGGCUGAUAGGUCCAGACGACAAGCUGCGAAUAAGAAAAAGAACAACAAACGUAAACCCCGCAUUGGCUCCUUCUCCCUCCUUAGCAACAAGAAAACCACCCCCCUACAGGUCACCAGAGCAAAGAGACAGGUGAAGCUGGAUCCGCCCAAAAGGGGGAAGUCAGGUCGUUCUGGAGCAUUCUCUGUUCUGGGAGAUCCUCAGAAUGAUGGAGAGGUCGACAGACCCAGAAGAAGCAUAUAGUCCCAACAAGUGGUGGGCAGAGUACAGAUGUAACCAUGUUGUUUUAGCCAAAACAUGCAAGAAACUGAAGACUGGUAUAGAAAAAAACAAACAUGAGAACUUCUGUGUCUAUUUAGUAUUUUAUUAAGUCAUUUUGAUGUCUAGCUUACAUUUAUCAGCCAGUCUGCACCUAUGGAUACUGUUUAUAUACAAUUUUUUCUAAUUACUAAUAUAUUCUUGCAUGUUACCACAUCACAUGAAAUCCCAUUUAAUAAUAUUUCAGUUUAUUUCAUAUUUUGUAACCUAUUUAAUCUCAGAUUCCUUAUGAAGAUCGGUGGUAUAUUUUUGCAGAAAUAUUUCCUGUGUUGUUGUAUCAGGUUUCAAUAAAAGGUUGGAAGAGAAAAUGGUGUAAAAGUCU